Molecule: ribosomal RNA, 372 nt
Filed under: uncultured bacterium
Lineage: Bacteria
Description: bacterial SSU rRNA
Rfam family: Bacterial small subunit ribosomal RNA
Source: RNAcentral
UACGGAGGGUGCAAGCGUUAUCCGGAAUCACUGGGUUUAAAGGGUGCGUAGGCGGCUAAAUAAGUCAGAGGUGAAAUGCUACGGCUUAACUGUGGAAUUGCCUUUGAAACUAUAUAGCUAGAAUAGAGUUGAGGUUGGCGGAAUGUGACAUGUAGCGGUGAAAUGCAUAGAUAUGUCAUAGAACAUCGAUUGCGAAGGCAGCUAACUGGGCUUUUAUUGACGCUGAGGCACGAAAGCGUGGGGAUCAAACAGGAUUAGAUACCCUGGUAGUCCACGCCCUAAACGAUGCUAACUCGAUGUAUGGGAGAGAUUCUGUGCGUCCAAGGGAAACCGAUAAGUUAGCCACCUGGGGAGUACGACCGCAAGGUUGAA